RNAcentral lists this long non-coding RNA (628 nucleotides) under Salmo salar (Atlantic salmon). Its description in RNAcentral is "lncRNA (ENSSSAG00000119396.1)". Lineage: Eukaryota; Metazoa; Chordata; Actinopteri; Salmoniformes; Salmonidae. The record is from RNAcentral.
GCCAAGACCAAAGAGCUGUCAAAGGAAAACAAUUCCUUCAGAAUUUUACAUCAAUCUGGACGAAGAACAAAUACCAAGACCAGUGUGUUCACAGCUCUCCCUGCGCUGUGAGUCUUGUGAGCCAGGCUACCAGAGAGCCUGGAGCUAGAGGAUAAGUGCACUAACUCCUGUGCCAUAAAGGCUCGGACCUCUUGGCACCAUUGUCCUAUGGUUUGUGUAGAGCAGCCCUGAGAUGAACUGGGACAACCAGCUGAGCUCCAUCUUCUCAGCAGCUGAUGGCAGCGUGGCCAAGAUGAGGCCCUCCACCGCUGUUCUCCCCCUCCGUGAUGCAGUGGGCAGACCUGGCAGCCGUCCAAUCACAACUGCAGGUCCAGGCCCUAGAGUCUCCGACUCAGUCUUCAUGACAUGGACAGAGGGAGACACUCAGCAGUGCCACAUACAGGCACUACAAGAUGAGAUUCGCUGGCUGUGAGAGCAGGCGAUGGAGAAAGAGCAGGAACGAGAGCGGGAUGGAGAGAGAAGGUCAGGGACAGUGAGUCUGGGAGUGGAGAGGAGGAGAGAGCAAUGGAGGAGAGAGGAGGGCCGUGAGCUCAGCACUUUAAGAAGGCACAUCACCAGAGCCCACUAG